UACGAAGGGGGCUAGCGUUGUUCGGAAUCACUGGGCGUAAAGCGCACGCAGGCGGAUUGAUAAGUCAGGGGUGAAAUCCCGGGGCUCAACCUCGGAAUUGCCUUUGAUACUGUCUGUCUUGAGUUCGGGAGAGGUUGGCGGAAUUCCUAGUGUAGAGGUGAAAUUCGUAGAUAUCAGGAGGAACACCGGUGGCGAAGGCGGGUCAGC
RNAcentral lists this ribosomal RNA (207 nucleotides) under uncultured bacterium. RNAcentral describes it as "partial 16S ribosomal RNA". It matches the Rfam family "Bacterial small subunit ribosomal RNA", at positions 524 to 729 of the family's 1533-position model. The record is from RNAcentral.